AUGGAAGUCUUCUCGAGCAUCGGUCUUAGGGCGUUACACUUUGGGUUACCGCUUGGUCCACGAGUGCCAACGAGAAUAGAGAUUUAUCCCAUCCUUGACCAUUUUGCUGCAAGGCUAAAGCCUUGGAAGGGAAAGCUAAUGAAUAGAGUGGGAAGACUUGCAUUGGUUAACUCUGUUCUCACUGCUCUCACCACAUAUCUCUUUACGACCUUCAUACCCUCCAAAUGGCUCAUCAAGAGGAUCGAUAAAAUUAGAAGAAGCUUCAUGUGGAGUGGCGAAGACGAGGCUGCCGAAAGAAAAUGUUUGGUUAACUGGAGGAAGGUUUGCUCCCCAAAGGAUUGUGGUGGCCUGGUGUAA
This 357-nucleotide ribosomal RNA is filed under the name Triticum aestivum (bread wheat). RNAcentral's name for it is "partial small subunit ribosomal RNA". The record is from RNAcentral. Lineage: Eukaryota; Viridiplantae; Streptophyta; Magnoliopsida; Poales; Poaceae.